GGCAAGCGUUGUCCGGGAAUUAUUGGGCGUAAAGGGCUCGCAGGCGGUUUCUUAAGUCUGAUGUGAAAGCCCCCGGCUCAACCGGGGAGGGUCAUUGGAAACUGGGGAACUUGAGUGCAGAAGAGGAGAGUGGAAUUCCACGUGUAGCGGUGAAAUGCGUAGAGAUGUGGAGGAACACCAGUGGCGAAGGCGACUCUCUGGUCUGUAACUGACGCUGAGGAGCGAAAGCGUGGGGAGCGAACAGGAUUAGAUACCCUGGUAGUCCACGCCGUAAACGAUGAGUGCUAAGUGUUAGGGGGUUUCCGCCCCUUAGUGCUGCAGCUAACGCAUUAAGCACUCCGCCUGGGGAGUACGGUCGCAAGACUGAAACUCAAAGGAAUUGACGGG
RNAcentral lists this ribosomal RNA (387 nucleotides) under Bacillus subtilis. RNAcentral's name for it is "bacterial SSU rRNA". It matches the Rfam family "Bacterial small subunit ribosomal RNA", at positions 533 to 917 of the family's 1533-position model. Lineage: Bacteria; Bacillati; Bacillota; Bacilli; Caryophanales; Bacillaceae. The record is from RNAcentral.